RNAcentral lists this ribosomal RNA (436 nucleotides) under uncultured bacterium. Its description in RNAcentral is "partial 16S ribosomal RNA". It matches the Rfam family "Bacterial small subunit ribosomal RNA", at positions 29 to 507 of the family's 1533-position model. The record is from RNAcentral.
AGCGAACGCUGGCGGCAGGCUUAACACAUGCAAGUCGAGCGGGCAUCCUUGUGGUGUCAGCGGCAGACGGGUGAGUAACGCGUGGGAACGUGCCCUUCGGUUCGGAAUAACUCAGGGAAACUUGAGCUAAUACCGGAUACGCCCUUUUGGGGAAAGGUUUACUGCCGAAGGAUCGGCCCGCGUCUGAUUAGCUAGUUGGUGAGGUUAUGGCUCACCAAGGCGACGAUCAGUAGCUGGUCUGAGAGGAUGAUCAGCCACACUGGGACUGAGACACGGCCCAGACUCCUACGGGAGGCAGCAGUGGGGAAUAUUGGACAAUGGGGGCAACCCUGAUCCAGCCAUGCCGCGUGAGUGAUGACGGCCUUAGGGUUGCAAAGCUCUUUUCUCCGGGACGAUAAUGACGGUACCGGAGGAAUAAGCCCCGGCUAACUUCGUG